RNAcentral lists this ribosomal RNA (255 nucleotides) under uncultured bacterium. Its description in RNAcentral is "partial 16S ribosomal RNA". It matches the Rfam family "Bacterial small subunit ribosomal RNA", at positions 333 to 580 of the family's 1533-position model. The record is from RNAcentral.
CAUCACCUACGGGACGCAGCAGUAGGGAAUCUUCCACAAUGGACGAAAGUCUGAUGGAGCAACGCCGCGUGAGUGAAGAAGGGUUUCGGCUCGUAAAGCUCUUUUGGUAGGGAAGAAAGGUAGAGGUAGUAACUGGCCUUUAUUUGACGGUAAUUACUUAGAAAGUCACGGCUUACUACGUGCCAGCAGCCGCGGUAGUACGUAGGUGGCAAGCGGUGUCCGGGUUUAUUGGGCGUAAAGCGAGGGCAGGCGGGU